This 460-nucleotide ribosomal RNA is filed under the name uncultured bacterium. RNAcentral describes it as "partial 16S ribosomal RNA". It matches the Rfam family "Bacterial small subunit ribosomal RNA", at positions 338 to 795 of the family's 1533-position model. The record is from RNAcentral.
CCUACGGGUGACAGCAGUGAGGAAUAUUGGUCAAUGGACGAGAGUCUGAACCAGCCAAGUAGCGUGAAGGAUGACUGCCCUAUGGGUUGUAAACUUCUUUUAUCUGGGAAUAAAAUGUUCCACGUGUGGGGUUUUGUAUGUAACAUGUGGAAAAGGAUCGGCUAAAGCCGUGCCAGCAGCCGGCGUAAUACGGGGGAACCGAGCGUUAUCCGGGGUUAGUGGGUUUAAAGGGAGCGUAGGUGGAUUGUUAAGUCAGUUGUGAAAGUUUGCGGCUCAACCGUCAAAUUGCAGUUGAAACUGGCAGUCUUGAGUACAGUAGAGGUGGGCGGAAUUCGUGGUGUAGCGGUGAAAUGCUUAGAUAUCACGAAGAACUCCGAUUGCGAAGGCAGUUCACUGGACUGCAACUGACACUGAGGCUCGAAAGUGUGGGUAUCAAACAGGAUUAGAUACCCUUGUAGUC